GGGGUUGUGGCUCAGUGGUAGAGCGCUCGCUUAGCACAUGUGAGGCCCUGGGUUCAAUCCUCAGCACCA
Molecule: transfer RNA, 69 nt
Filed under: Ictidomys tridecemlineatus (thirteen-lined ground squirrel)
Lineage: Eukaryota; Metazoa; Chordata; Mammalia; Rodentia; Sciuridae
Description: Spermophilus tridecemlineatus (thirteen-lined ground squirrel) tRNA
Rfam family: tRNA
About the family: Transfer RNA (tRNA) molecules are approximately 80 nucleotides in length. Their secondary structure includes four short double-helical elements and three loops (D, anti-codon, and T loops).
Source: Rfam by way of RNAcentral